RNAcentral lists this transfer RNA (72 nucleotides) under Phrynosoma platyrhinos (Desert horned lizard). Its description in RNAcentral is "tRNA-OTHER". Lineage: Eukaryota; Metazoa; Chordata; Lepidosauria; Squamata; Phrynosomatidae. The record is from RNAcentral.
GCCAGCAUGGUGUAGUGGUUUGAGUGUUGGACUACAACUCUGGAGACCGAGGUUCAAAUCCUCACUCAAGCA